This 460-nucleotide ribosomal RNA is filed under the name uncultured bacterium. Its description in RNAcentral is "partial 16S ribosomal RNA". It matches the Rfam family "Bacterial small subunit ribosomal RNA", at positions 338 to 795 of the family's 1533-position model. The record is from RNAcentral.
CCUACGGGUGGCAGCAGUGAGGAAUAUUGGUCAAUGGACGAGAGUCUGAACCAGCCAAGUAGCGUGAAGGAUGACUGCCCUAUGGGUUGUAAACUUCUUUUAUAUGGGAAUAAAACGUUCCACGUGUGGGAUUUUGUAUGUACCAUAUGAAUAAGGAUCGGCUAACUCCGUGCCAGCAGCCGCGGUAAUACGGAGGAUCCGAGCGUUAUCCGGAUUUAUUGGGUUUAAAGGGAGCGUAGGUGGAUUGUUAAGUCAGUUGUGAAAGUUUGCGGCUCAACCGUAAAAUUGCAGUUGAAACUGGCAGUCUUGAGUACAGUAGAGGUGGGCGGAAUUCGUGGUGUAGCGGUGAAAUGCUUAGAUAUCACGAAGAACUACGAUUGCGAAGGCAGUUCACUGGACUGCAACUGACACUGAGGCUCGAAAGUGUGGGUAUCAAACAGGAUUAGAUACCCUUGUAGUC